RNAcentral lists this ribosomal RNA (253 nucleotides) under uncultured bacterium. RNAcentral's name for it is "partial 16S ribosomal RNA". It matches the Rfam family "Bacterial small subunit ribosomal RNA", at positions 524 to 776 of the family's 1533-position model. The record is from RNAcentral.
UACGAGGGGGGCAAGCGUUGUUCGGAUUUAUUGGGUUUAAAGGGUGCGUAGGCGGUCCAUUAAGUCAGUUGUGAAAUACGGCAGCUUAACUGUCGAGGUGCAAUUGAUACUGGAGGACUUGAGUACAGACGAGGUAGGCGGAAUUGACGGUGUAGCGGUGAAAUGCAUAGAUAUCGUCAAGAACACCGAUAGCGAAGGCAGCUUACUAGACUGUAACUGACGCUGAGGCACGAAAGUGUGGGGAUCAAACAGG